This 107-nucleotide small nuclear RNA is filed under the name Castor canadensis (American beaver). Lineage: Eukaryota; Metazoa; Chordata; Mammalia; Rodentia; Castoridae. The record is from RNAcentral.
GUGCUUGCUUCAGCAGCACAUGUACUAAAAUUGGAACAAUGCAGAGAAGAUUAGCAGGGCCCCUGCACAAGGAUGACAUGCAAAUUUGUGAAGCAUUCCAUAUUUUU